Molecule: ribosomal RNA, 253 nt
Filed under: uncultured prokaryote
Description: partial 16S ribosomal RNA
Rfam family: Bacterial small subunit ribosomal RNA
Source: RNAcentral
AUGUAGGCAGCAAGCGUUGUUCGGAAUUACUGGGCGUAAAGAGUGUGUAGGCGGUGCUCUAAGUCUGUUGUGAAAUCUCCCGGCUUAACCGGGAGGGUGCGGCGGAAACUGGAGUGCUUGAGGGUGGGAGAGGUAAGCGGAAUUCCUGGUGUAGCGGUGAAAUGCGUAGAUAUCGGGAGGAACAUCUGUGGCGAAGGCGACACCCUGGACCAGCACUGACACUGAGGCACGAAAGCGUGGGGAGCAAACAGGA